RNAcentral lists this long non-coding RNA (1205 nucleotides) under Marmota monax (woodchuck). The record is from RNAcentral. Lineage: Eukaryota; Metazoa; Chordata; Mammalia; Rodentia; Sciuridae.
CCAGAGAAGGCUUUUGAGGAAGAUUCCUCAUCUCAUCCAGAGAAAUUUUUGCAGAAGUAAUGCAAUCGUCAAGAGCACACUCCCUAUAAAGUCAUCAAACAGGGAAGAUUAUCUCACAGGAAAGAUGACCAGAGCUGACACCACACCCAGAACCCAGAUGGUUUUAUCACAGUCUAAGGUCUGUUCUUAGGCAAAUUCAUCUUCUGUAAAAGUAAUUCACUCUUGCUGGGCAGGUGGUGCAUACCUGUAAUCUCAGCAGCUUGGGGGGCUGAGGCAGGAGGAUUGCAAGCACAAAGCCAGCCUCAGCAAUUUAGCAAGGUCCUGAGCAAUUUAGGGAGACCUUGUCUCAAAAUAAAAAAUAAAAACAGGCUAGUGAUGUGGCUUAGUGGUUAAAAGCCCUUGAGUUCAAUCCCUGGUAUCAACAACAACAAUAACAAAGAUUUACUCUUCCUCUAUUUCCACUACUAAGAGGGUAUAUAAGCUUCUAAUCUCUUUGGGUUUGAGGGAACUCACUUUCAUUUUUGUGAUGUUCCCAUGCUUACGGUGCAAUGAACUCACGUGCCUUUUCUCCUGUUAGAAUGUCCAUUGCCAGUUUAUUCCAAAAGACUCAAUUAUUAAACCUUUAGAAGGUGGAGGGGAAGUUUCUUUUGCCCCAUACAUACCUUUUCUGUUCUUCUAAAAAUCCUUCCUUGAGAAGCUCUUCAUAUCAUUCUUGAGUUGCCUUUGACUUCACAUGUAAAAAAUAUUGUCAUGAACCCGAUGAUAAAAUACUGUUUAUAUUUUGUUUUUCAGUUAAGGAAAAGAGUGUUGGUGUUGGGGUGUUCCUUGGCAAUACCAACCAAGAAAAAUAACAACAACAACAAAAGCCUAAAACUCUUUUGAGGAAAUCUGGAAUAGCAGAUGCUCUGGUUUGGAUGUGCUGGAGUUCAUCCCCCUAACACUUCAUGUAUAAGAAGCUUGGACUCUGGUGUGGCAGUGUUGGAAGGUGGUAGCCCCUUAAAGAGGUGGGGUGUAGUGGGAGGUGAUUAGAUCAUCGGGAGUGCUGCCUUCAGAAUGGAUUACUGUAGCUUUUAUGGGACCCCAUUUAGUUCCUGUGAGAGGGGGCUAUUAGAAAAGAAUAGGUCCUGGUCACUAGCUUCUACAUCAUGAGGCUAUCUGCCACGGGACCUUCACCCGAGCCAAGCAGAUUCUGCACCAUGCUCUUG